CGAAAUAGUUUAUUUUCUUUUUGAUAAAAGAACGAGCAGAAAUAUAUACUUUAAUCUCCAUUAUUGCAAUUUUAUUUAGCUGUGAAUACAUAAGAUUAUGGAAAAUUUGUAGAGAAUAGUACGGAAUUAAUGUGGAUGAAAUAAGAUUUUUGGAAAGUGCAUGUAUGUAUAAAUAUAUUACAGUAUAUAUUAAAGUAUGCUAAAUUACAUAAUUAUGAGUCCCAGCAUCCCGUUAAAUGUAAUAUCAGAAGAAAUACAAAGGUUUCACCAAACGUAGGAAAUGACAGGAAUAUUUUACUAUUUAUUAAAUAUCUGAAUCUCUUGAUAAACAAUGAACUAAAGUAGGGUUACUCCGCUUGACCUUAAUUUCUAUGUAUAAGAUCGAUUAUAAUUAAAUUUAAUUAUAAUUUUAUACAAUAUCCAUUAUAUUGUAGGAACAGUGAAGAAUUGAUCUUGUAUGAUGAGAGUCUUGUUUGCUAAGGGAAAAAUUAAAUCAAUUCAUGGAUAUGUAAUUUGCAAGCUGCGAUUCAUAAAAAAGAGAGCACAAUCGAGCGAAACGCGUCGAACAAACAAAUAUUCCGAGGCUCCGCUCAUAAAAGCCUCGAUUCCACCGGGGUUGCUAUUCCAUCUUUAACGAAUCGAAACUUGUGAGAGGCGAGCUGAGCGUGGGCGGUCGGUGGCGCGUUAAAACACUUUCUUCGACAAAAGCCAUCGAGGCUCGAGGUCAGCCUCUUAACCCAGAUUCCGAGUCGGAAGGCGAGAAGACAGAAGCUCUCGGUUACACACGAUCAACGCGCUCAAUUCAAGAGAGUCCCUUAACCUCUUCGUCUUCGGAAACAUCCGCCUGCAACUCUUCGUUCCAAUGCGACCACCCCAAAAAGAGAAGACGAGGUAGAAACAAAAGAAAGAAACAUAAAGCAAGAAGGAAAGGAAGGCAAAAAACGUAAAAAGAAAGGGAAAAAUUUCAGUAUAAGCGUAAUAACUACGGCGCGCGAUACAGCGACGGUAAAAGAAUGGUCCAAAUGAAGCCUCCUAAAUUUCAACACCCUCUUCGCCAGAGCGACCAGAGCUCCACAACGCCAUUCUCCGGCUCUCUUCCUCCGCCUUCGACUUCCCUUUGUCCGCUCUCUCGUUUUUUCCCCCGCUCCCUUUAGCCCUCGCCCCGUUUUCUCGAUACUCUCCCGGUAUAUCCAGCCUGUUCCUUUUCUUCCUCGGUCCUUUCGGCGGUCUCUGUCGGCGAGCCGAUGCCCUCGCAAUCAGCCGGCAAAGUGGAGUCGCGCGCGCGACGACGGCGUCGGCGGUGGCGGCGGUGGUAGCAAGCGGUAGCGGCGGCUGUGUGGCGGUGGCGUAUCCGUGAAACACGCGGUGCAAGUGCCGGGGUGGCGAUGACGCAAAGUCAGCGUGGGCCAAUGGACUGGCUGCUGUACGGGAGGUGUUCGGUGGGCCACGAUUGGGCGUGGCUCGAGCAGAGGGUGCGUCAGGGGUGCCACCGCCGACGUGGCUGCGUGGGGGAAUGCCAAAGUGUGCCCCGGGGUGUAAUAUCAUACCGCUAGGUGGAUAAAUAGACGCACGAAACUAGUAGGGACGAGUGGGGAACGAGUAACGAACGGAACAGCAGCGAGGAUGAGACGAGGAAGGAGAGGAGGGACGACUGGUGAAACUGGGGUGGAUCGCGGGGUUGGAGGAGAGUGAGAGAGUGAGAGAGAGAGACAGAAACAGAGACCUGGCUAAAAGAGUAACCAGAGGAUGACGGACACGCGAGAGAGGCAGCGCGUGGAGGAAGAGAGGAGGGUGGUAGAAAGGGCGAGAAAGGGAGAGGAGGAAAUGAGGAAAGGGUCGUGCACCGAGCGAGGGUUACUCAAGGGGGUUAGACGGAAAGACGGAGAGGCGAGACAAAGCGUGUUGGAACAGGACGAGGGAUCGGUUGCCAGAGGUAGAGUAGGGGAAAUUGGGUGGCUACGCGAUCCGAGCGAGACUAGACUAGAACAAAUAGUGGUUGUAGCCAUCCUCAGCUUCUGAGGUAUUUUCCACUCGUGCGAGUUGCACGCAUUCGAACGCCGGCCCAGGCUUGCUCACGGCGAACCGUGGAACCGUUUGUAUGCACAGGCCGUGUCGUGGCUUUCGUCGGAGGAUCGACGGUGGUGGCGGCAGCCGGUGAUGCUUAGUGGUGGUGGCGUUGCCGCUGGAAAAUGCCCAACUCGCCCCCGUGUUUCACGGCGAUACACCAUCCGCACACGACCGGCAUGUCGAAAAAUUGUUGCGGAUAAACUGUUUGGUACUGUAAAGCACUCGUUAUCGGAAGGAACUAGCGAGUCUUGUUAAAUCACCAGAGAAAUAUAAUAAGAUUGUUUACGUUUAAGCGGCGAGGAUGGAGAAAUGAAGAAGAAGAUAUCCGAAAAGAUAUAAUACAAACGUGAAGGAGAAUAAGAAGAAAAUGAUUGAAUGUGCACGAAUGUUAUAUUCCCAAAGAACGAAAACUAAAAAGGAAGACUAUAAACUCGAUAUCAAGAAGGAAACAAAAACGAUGUGGAAUGGUCAUCGAUCGUGAAACCUACAACCAAUCUGGAGUCAUCGUCGUCGAAGGCUUGCUUACCAUCCUGUCCGUAUCGUCUCGCAUGCGAUUUUGUAGAAUGCUGAGCACAGUGUGUAGCGAAACAGGAUGUUGUCAGCUGAAAUUAAAUUUUCCCCGUAGAGCCGGCGGGUCGCUCGGCAACCCGAUAUUGUGGGCGUUAAGCUACGUACACAAGCGACGACAGACGCAGACAAUGUCGCCGUAGAAUGGUUCGUCGGUGUUCACUUUGCCCGGUUUCACAAAUCGCCUUAUUCUGCGACAGGAAAGAUGAUAAUUUGGUUGUUGCGCGUUCUUCGCGCGUUGCUGUUAAAUAUCCCGCCAUUUUGCUCCAGAACGCGUUAGAAAUAUUGUUUUCCAGCUACCCGGUUCUGUAUUGUCCUUAGCCAUGUGAAAUUGCGAUGGACCUGUUUACAGGGUGUCUGGAUUUUAUUCGAUGAAACGAGGAUGUGAUGAUGAUGGAAAUCGAGGUACGGUGGUUGUAGAAGCUGGAAUAUUUUUCGAUCGGAUGCUGCGAGGCGAUCGAUCAGAAGGCUGUGAUCAUACAGAGAGCAUUUGGCAUUGGCAGAGAUUGACAUUUGGAGCAUUGGCAUUGGCUUCUUGUUCUUGCGUUUACCGCCCUGUAUAGCCACGAUCUUAUGCGGAUAUCUACAGAGAAGAUCUGUGGGCUAACUAUUCAUAAGGCCGAGUUUUCGAAACGGUCCAUUACCAUGAAAAAUGAUCUUCAGCUUUAGCGACCUGAAAUACCCAGGAAAAGUCACAUUCGGAUCAAAAAUUGUACAGUCCGAAUAGGAUACUUUAUCUGAUUUUGGCAUUUUAUUGAUUUGGAUUUCUGCGUAUUUUUUAGUGUUUGUUUAAUUAACGGUUUAUAUUAUUCCUUUGGGAAAAGAGGAUAUUUAUUGACAUACGCUUGUGUAUAGUGCGAUUUUAAUGAAAAUCUUGGCCAUCUGUUAUCUCCGAAUAUUAUUAUCUUCAGUGAAAAGUAAAAUAUUUACUAUGAAUAAUACGAAUAAUAAAUUGAAACUCGGUAACAAUUUUCAAUACUUUACGAAAAGAAUGAACUAACGAAUCAUAGAUAAAUACCAAUUAGUCAAACAAGGAGAUUCAGAAUUAAGUAAUAGGGGUAGGUAUACGUAAAAACGAGGGGAGACAAGCUCGUGCCCUGGAAUAUAUUAUGAAAAGUAAUAAAGUGACUCUAUAUCCGGCUGGGUGACAGGUCCCUUUAUGAACGAAUGAUAAUCUGUUGCGGUAAAUGCAUCUGUUCUGUCGCAAGCAGGUGUUGCAUUUUCGAUUCGAAUAAAGAAGACAGAUUAAGGGUGCGAACGUUUUUGUUGGGUCACGUGCUUCAGUCAAAAUAAAUCUGUUCUUGUAAUCGGAUUUAUGGGUUAGGUCUGAAAACCGAUCAACUUCUCUCAUACGGCUAUUAACUUAAAAAUAUAGUAUCACUACUUUGGCCCUUCUGGUUAGGUUCAUCAUUUCGGUCUACGAUACUCAAGACGAGAAAAACAUUAGCUUUUUUAGUGAAUUAGUUAGUACGUGAAAAUGUCUCAAACUUUUUAUACAAAUAAUCAGGAGGUUUGAAGCGAUUGCUUAGAAAUUUAAUAUUGAACAGGAACAUUAUUUUGGAAUUUCGAUGGAUAUUCAAACGUUCGCAUGAUUCAGACAUUUAGACAUUUAAA
This is a long non-coding RNA of Bombus terrestris (buff-tailed bumblebee), 4248 nucleotides long. RefSeq lists it as uncharacterized. The record is from RefSeq and is a predicted model, not a curated record. Lineage: Eukaryota; Metazoa; Arthropoda; Insecta; Hymenoptera; Apidae. The transcript has 3 exons.